Unclassified non-coding RNA from Gorilla gorilla gorilla (western lowland gorilla), 358 nucleotides. Its record names the gene 7SK. It matches the Rfam family "7SK RNA". From Rfam's summary of the family: 7SK was discovered as an abundant small nuclear RNA in the mid-70s but a possible function has only recently been suggested. The record is from Ensembl. Lineage: Eukaryota; Metazoa; Chordata; Mammalia; Primates; Hominidae.
GGAUGUGAGGGCGGUCUGGCUGCAACAUGUUACCCCACUGAUCGCCAGGGUUGAUUCAGCUGACCUGGCUGGCUAGGUGGGUGUCCCCUUCCUCCCUCACUCACUACUCCAUGUGCAACCUCCUGAAGCUGUGCACUCCGUUAAAGAGGACAACCAUCCCCGAUAGACAAGGACCAGUCUUCAGUCAAGGGCAUACAAGUAGCUGUGCUCCCCUGCUAGACCCUCCCAACAAGCUCUCAAGACUGCUGUCUGCCAAUCUGUAUCCAGAGUUGGAAAAAAGAAAGAAAAAAAAGAACUUGUCCCAGAGUGUUCCUUACCGAGUUAUAAAUUAGUUGUAAUUUGGAAAGGGAACAUUCUG